Gambusia affinis (western mosquitofish) is the source of this 526-nucleotide long non-coding RNA. RefSeq lists it as uncharacterized. Lineage: Eukaryota; Metazoa; Chordata; Actinopteri; Cyprinodontiformes; Poeciliidae. The record is from RefSeq and is a predicted model, not a curated record. The transcript is spliced from 2 exons.
GCGAAAAUGCGGUCAAAAUUGCCAAGUCUUGACCGAUCCGUGGUAAUAAAAAGGUUGGGGACCAAUUUAUAGGUCACUACUCCCAAUAACUGCCUUAAAAACUUCCGAUCAGUCCGAAUUCAGGAAUAACGUUCCCCGCCGCCUGUCAGGCAGUGCUCAGGGCAUACUAGGCUCUUUCCGCUCCUAGGACCCGUACUUCCGGCUGUGGUUCGGCAAUAGCAGCGGCCGUUAGCUGUAGCUGCUGCUCGGAGCGGAUCGCUACUCCCGGAUUCUCUGAGCGGCUCCCCGCCGCCCCCCUUGCCCUCUGGAUCCGCCUGAAGCCGCUCCUCUGUCGGUUCCGAGACGCCAGCCGAGCGCUAACGCGGGGCUUUGUCGAGCUUCAGGUCCGGUCCUUCCAGUUAGCAUCGAGCUAACAGCUAGCUUCCUGCCGAUGAAAACAUCGAGAGGAAAACUUCACUGACAGGUGGAUCCAGGUUUCGGGUCGGUUUUGCUGGAACUGAAUCUGAGUCACCUUCAUGAAGUAGGC